Molecule: long non-coding RNA, 943 nt
Organism: Scatophagus argus
Lineage: Eukaryota; Metazoa; Chordata; Actinopteri; Scatophagidae
Exons: 4
Source: RefSeq, a predicted model, not a curated record
AACCUUUCCUUGUGUCCCAGCAGAGCGCCAAAGAGAAAGCAUUUGCCUUCCGGAUGCGGAUUGAAGGACUUGUUCCCAAGAGGUCCAGAGCGGGUAAGCGAGUGUGUGGUGUUGCUUUUUUCUUCUUCUCUCUGUGUUCAGCUUCAUCAGUGAGGGAGAGGGCCCUGAUGUCAAGUGUCCUGGUUCAGUGAGAGCAGCAGAGAGGCUGCGAUCACCUUCACCUGGAUCGAACACGACGUCCACAGCGAGCGUUGGGUACUCCAGCGUCGUUCUUGAGCUCUUGGUCGUCCUGGAAUGCUCUGUGCACUUUCUCUCUGCACGUACUACAUGACGGCUGACAAGAACAUCCCCGCGAACCUGCUUCCUCUACCCCGACAUGCGAAAAGACAAGGCCUUUGGGAAGUACUAGCCCAAACCCUCUGAGACUCCAGUGUCAAUGGAUGUGGAGAACGCAGAGAGGACGGGCUACAUGAAGACGGAGCUCAUUUCUGUCUUCGAAGGAUGAGUGCAGAAUUUGAGGACCAAAACUGAGGACAGCAGAACUUCAUCCACGUCUUGAGACUGUACUUUGUGUUGGACCCAUUGUUCAUUUGAGAUAAUAUGCUGCCUUGAAACUGUGAGGUUGAACAUUUGCAGUCAGAGGAACCGCGGCCAGAUCCACUGUACAUAUGUCCAUGUGUGAAAUCAGUGAAAUCCUUUGUAAUGGAAAAUAGAACCAGUACAGUUUUAAGUCUUGUGGAAAAAGACAAGUUUUUUUGUAUUUAUGAUAAUUAUAGUAUUUAUAGUAUAAGACUAAAGUAAAUACUUAGUAAAAUUUGUUUUAGUGUUGAACGACUAAAGUAAGUAGUUACCAACAUUUUUGUAAAGACUAAGGUAAGUACUUAGCAAAGUUUUUGUAAAGACUAAGGUAAGUACCUAGCAAAAUGUCUUUACACAGUAAAGU